GCCCCCUCGCGCGCCGCCCGGCGCCCCGCGCACGCGCGCCGCCCCCUGCUCCUUCAGCGAGGGUCUGCGGGGAGCGCGCGUCCAACGCAGGUAAUGAUGAAACUCCUGCUCUGGUCCGGGCUACCGGUGAACAGCGCCCAGCGGGCCGGGCCCCCAACCUCGCUCCUGAGCCUGAACAUCCCCCCAACCCCACCGUGAGAAUUCAGCGAAGAGUAAAAGCUGGAAAAAGUUGCGUGUCUUAGGCUAAGCAGAACAAAGUGGGGUGACGGCUCCCCGGCUAGGAACAGAGAUGCCCUUAGGGAGCCCUCUGAUGGAAGAGCUCUCCGCUUAAGAAGGUCACCACUCCCUUACACUCAGGAGAUGUUGCUGAGAUGGGUGCAUUAAAGUUUAGGCUUUCCAGAGUUUAUAUUGCUAACAACUUGAAAGGAAAAAAGCUAACUAGAGAACUGACUGGUCUUAUUUGUUUUAGAUUCUGGGCUUUACUAAGACUUCCUACUCUCAGAAUCUCUGGACUAUAAACGCUGGGUGGGGUGGGAGCUGGGAAUGUUAUUCUGGAAAAUUAAUCACAAAUGAAAAGAAAAUCAACUCUAAGACUCCAGUUAGAAGAUUUUUGAAAAUGGCAGAACAUGACUGGCCUUCAUUCAAGUCAGAAUAUUUAAAGCAAUCCUUGCUAAGAAGAACUUGAUUUUGUAUAAGCAGUCCCUUAAAUACAGUUGCUUCUCAAGAAAACCACACACAAUUGAUGUUUGAAUGGCUUUAUUUACAAACAUCUCACUCCGUAAGCCUCUGCAGGUAUUUCUAGCCUCCCAGGGGCCACUGUCCCGUUUCACCUGUAAUUUGGAUCACAAUUCUGUUUGUUGUCACACACAUCAUAUGAACUGCUUUUCAUGCUGCUUUUAUCCACAAAGCUUUACAAGCUU
This 920-nucleotide long non-coding RNA is filed under the name Homo sapiens (human). Its description in RNAcentral is "non-protein coding lnc-LRP5L-2:1". Lineage: Eukaryota; Metazoa; Chordata; Mammalia; Primates; Hominidae. The record is from RNAcentral.